GGGGUUGCUCUGGUUUCGACGAGGGCUAGACGCUUGGUAGUGCAUGUCGAGCUGAAUGUGCUCGUUAAACAAAUUCAAAAAACUUAACUGCAAACGACGAACGUUUCGCACUCGCAGCUUAAUUGCUGAGAGGCUUGCAACAGCUCUCCGGUGGGCUGGGCAAAGGAGCUUGGGGCAACCCAAUCACUUCUCGGCUGCAAGCUUAUUCACACCGGAUGGCUUUGCAUGGGGUGACUUCAUGCAAAGCGAGAAAAUAGGUCGCUGGUCUGUCUUGUAGCGUGCCACUGCGCGACAAGAUGGGCGAGACACAAAUCAGACGGCUACACAUGUAGAUCGAUCAGGAAAAAGGUUUUCGGACGCGGGUUCAAUUCCCGCCAACUCCACCA
RNAcentral lists this transfer-messenger RNA (386 nucleotides) under Burkholderiales. RNAcentral's name for it is "JAAFIP01 sp012036375 Standard tmRNA". It matches the Rfam family "transfer-messenger RNA". Rfam says of the family: Bacterial tmRNA, also known as 10Sa RNA or SsrA, is named for its dual tRNA and mRNA-like properties. Its role is to liberate the mRNA from a stalled ribosome. To accomplish this part of the tmRNA is used as a reading frame that ends in a translation stop signal. The record is from RNAcentral. Lineage: Bacteria; Pseudomonadati; Pseudomonadota; Betaproteobacteria. RNAcentral also lists the same sequence under 1 other name.